GAAGGACGCGGCGAACAAGUUUGAUUAUUGCAAGGGGGAGCGGGGGUCUCCAUGACCCCAGUCCCCCGAUGUAGGCGAGAGGGGUGGGGUGGGACUUUGCCCCUUCAUCUCUGCCGUCGGCCGUACAACCAACCCCGGCGCAGGACGCGCCAAGGAAAAUUAAAUGAAAAGAGCACGCUGCUGUAGGCCUCGGAAACGAUGCGCUUUAGGCACGCGUCGCCCUCUUUCGAGAACCAUAACGACUCUCGGCAACGGAUAUCUCGGCUCUCGCAUCGAUGAAGAACGCAGCAAAAUGCGAUACUUGGUGUGAAUUGCAGAAUCCCGUGAAUCAUCGAGUUUUUGAACGCAAGUUGCGCCCGAAGCCUUUCGGCCGAGGGCACGCCUGCCUGGGUGUCACGCAAUUGUCGCCCCCAACCCUUUCGAUACAUCGAGAGGGGGGCGGAUUAUGGCCUCCCGUGCGCCUCGUGCAUGCGGUUGGCCUAAAAAUUGAGUCCCCGGCGACUAUCGCCACGGCAAUCUUUGGUAUGGGGAUGUCGAACAUACCAUGCGCGGUAAUGUUCCUUGAGGGAGCCCUUUAAGGGGUCAUGGCAACAGAUAUGGUAAAAA
RNAcentral lists this ribosomal RNA (606 nucleotides) under Ricinus communis (castor bean). RNAcentral describes it as "eukaryotic LSU rRNA". The stretch from base 241 to 396 matches the Rfam family "5.8S ribosomal RNA". The record is from RNAcentral. Lineage: Eukaryota; Viridiplantae; Streptophyta; Magnoliopsida; Malpighiales; Euphorbiaceae.